AGAUCAUACUCGUAAUGAAGAGCUCACUUACGCUGAUCCAACGUUCUACAAACAAAAAGCACAGAAAUCGGAAGUCAAGCAGGAGGAAGAUGUGGUGUAUGCAGGCGUCGUCAUCAGAAGUUGAUCAAACUUUUCAUUUAUGACGUUGCGAUCACAGUCAGAAUGUAAAGAAUUAUAAAGCUGUCUUUCUGCCAAAA
Molecule: long non-coding RNA, 197 nt
Organism: Cyprinus carpio (common carp)
Lineage: Eukaryota; Metazoa; Chordata; Actinopteri; Cypriniformes; Cyprinidae
Exons: 2
Source: RefSeq, a predicted model, not a curated record